Molecule: ribosomal RNA, 40 nt
Filed under: Symbiodinium sp. Oku09
Lineage: Eukaryota; Dinophyceae; Suessiales; Symbiodiniaceae
Description: partial 28S ribosomal RNA
Source: RNAcentral
ACACUUCCUAGCAUGAAGUCAGACAAGUGAACCCGCCGAA